RNAcentral lists this ribosomal RNA (406 nucleotides) under uncultured bacterium. RNAcentral describes it as "partial 16S ribosomal RNA". It matches the Rfam family "Bacterial small subunit ribosomal RNA", at positions 29 to 526 of the family's 1533-position model. The record is from RNAcentral.
AUUGAACGCUGGCGGCAGGCCUAACACAUGCAAGUCGAACGAGUGGCGGACGGGUGAGUAAUGUAUGGGAAACUGCCCGAUGGAGGGGGAUAACUACUGGAAACGGUAGCUAAUACCGCAUACCAUCGGAUGUGCCCAGAUGGGAUUAGCUAGUAGGUGGGGUAACGGCUCACCUAGGCGACGAUCCCUAGCUGGCCUGAGAGGAUGACCAGCCAAACUGGAACGGAGACACGGCCCAGACUCCUACGGGAGGCAGCAGUGGGGAAUAUUGCACAAUGGGCGCAAGCCUGAUGCAGCCACGCCGCGUGUAUGAAGAAGGCCUUCGGGUUGUAAAGUACUUUCAGCGAGGAGGCGGUACCCGCAGAAGAAGCACCGGCUAACUCCGUGCCAGCAGCCGCGGUAAUUC